UGGGGAAUAUUGCACAAUGGGCGCAAGCCUGAUGCAGCCAUGCCGCGUGUGUGAAGAAGGCCUUCGGGUUGUAAAGCACUUUCAGCGAGGAGGAAGGUGGUGAACUUAAUACGUUCAUCAAUUGACGUUACUCGCAGAAGAAGCACCGGCUAACUCCGUGCCAGCAGCCGCGGUAAUACGGAGGGUGCAAGCGUUAAUCGGAAUUACUGGGCGUAAAGCGCACGCAGGCGGUUUGUUAAGUCAGAUGUGAAAUCCCCGGGCUCAACCUGGGAACUGCAUUUGAAACUGGCAAGCUAGAGUCUCGUAGAGGGGGGCUAGAAUUCCAGGUGUAGCGGUGAAAUGCGUAGAGAUCUGGAGGAAUACCGGUGGCGAAGGCGGCCCCCCUGGACGAAGACUGACGCUCAGGCUGCGAAAGCGUGGGGCAGCAAACAGGAUUAGAUACCCUGGUAGUCCACGCUGUAAACGAUGUCGAUUUGGAGGUUGUGCCCCUUGAGGCGUGGCUUCCGGAGCUAACG
Molecule: ribosomal RNA, 515 nt
Filed under: uncultured bacterium
Lineage: Bacteria
Description: partial 16S ribosomal RNA
Rfam family: Bacterial small subunit ribosomal RNA
Source: RNAcentral